AGAGUUUGAUCCUGGCUCAGAAUGAACGCUGGCGGCAGGCCUAACACACGCAAGUCGAACGAGGUAGCAAUACCUAGUGGCGGACGGGUGAGUAACACGUGGGAACGUACCCUUUGCUACGGAAUAGCCCUGGGAAACUGGGAGUAAUACCGUAUGAGCCCGAGAGGGGAAAAGAUUUAUCGGCAAAGGAUCGGCCCGCGUUGGAUUAGGUAGUUGGUGGGGUAAUGGCCUACCAAGCCGACGAUCCAUAGCUGGUUUGAGAGGAUGAUCAGCCACACUGGGACUGAGACACGGCCCAGACUCCUACGGGAGGCAGCAGUGGGGAAUCUUAGACAAUGGGGGAAACCCUGAUCUAGCCAUGCCGCGUGAUCGAUGAAGGCCUUAGGGUUGUAAAGAUCUUUCAGGUGGGAAGAUAAUGACUGUACCACCAGAAGAAGCCCCGGCUAACUCCGUG
RNAcentral lists this ribosomal RNA (454 nucleotides) under uncultured bacterium. RNAcentral's name for it is "bacterial SSU rRNA". It matches the Rfam family "Bacterial small subunit ribosomal RNA", at positions 8 to 507 of the family's 1533-position model. The record is from RNAcentral.